ACGGGUGAGUAAUACAUCGGAACGUAUCCUGGAGUGGGGGAUAGCCCGGCGAAAGCCGGAUUAAUACCGCAUACGCUCUGAGGAGGAAAGCGGGGGACCUUCGGGCCUCGCGCUCAAGGGGCGGCCGAUGGCGGAUUAGGUAGUUGGUGGGGUAAAGGCCUACCAAGCCGACGAUCCGUAGCUGGUCUGAGAGGACGACCAGCCACACUGGGACUGAGACACGGCCCAGACUCCUACGGGAGGCAGCAGUGGGGAAUUUUGGACAAUGGGGGCAGCCCUGAUCCAGCAAUGCCGCGUGUGUGAAGAAGGCCUUCGGGUUGUAAAGCACUUUUGUCCGGAAAGAAAUCAUCGGGGCCAAUACCCCUGGUGGAUGACGGUACCGGAAGAAUAAGCACCGGCUAACUACGUGCCAGCAGCCGCGGUAAUACGUAGGGUGCGAGCGUUAAUCGGAAUUACUGGGCGUAAAGCGUGCGCAGGCGGUGCUGUAAGACCGAUGUGAAAUCCCCGGGCUUAACCUGGGAACUGCAUUGGUGACUGCAGCGCUGGAGUAUGGCAGAGGGGGGUGGAAUUCCACGU
Molecule: ribosomal RNA, 576 nt
Filed under: uncultured bacterium
Lineage: Bacteria
Description: bacterial SSU rRNA
Rfam family: Bacterial small subunit ribosomal RNA
Source: RNAcentral